This is a small nucleolar RNA of Caenorhabditis elegans, 164 nucleotides long. The record is from Ensembl. NCBI's taxonomy places the organism in Eukaryota, Metazoa, Nematoda, Chromadorea, Rhabditida, Rhabditidae.
GAUGUACAACAUACACUGUGUGCACCAAUACGGGAUGACGUUGAGAUUCGGAGAUACAGAUAGGUGGAAAAAUGAUGACCAAAAAAUGAAGAGCUCAAAUGAUAAGGUAUUAAGAAGAUAAGCAUGAUGAUAACUAUUUCGUAGAAAAUUGAACAACGAUCUAG